This 107-nucleotide small RNA is filed under the name Marmota monax (woodchuck). The record is from RNAcentral. Lineage: Eukaryota; Metazoa; Chordata; Mammalia; Rodentia; Sciuridae.
GCUGGGUGCAGUGGCGCACACCUGUAAUUCCAGCAACUCAGGAGGCUGAGGCAGGAGGAUCCCAAAUUCAAGGCCAGCCUUGUCAACUUAGCAAAACUCUGUCUCAA